Molecule: transfer RNA, 71 nt
Filed under: Awaous gutum (tank goby)
Lineage: Eukaryota; Metazoa; Chordata; Actinopteri; Gobiiformes; Gobiidae
Description: tRNA-Asp
Rfam family: tRNA
About the family: Transfer RNA (tRNA) molecules are approximately 80 nucleotides in length. Their secondary structure includes four short double-helical elements and three loops (D, anti-codon, and T loops).
Source: RNAcentral
AAGAUGUUAGUAUAACAAAAAUACUCUGCCUUGUCAAGGCAAAACUGUGGGUUGAACCCCCGCACAUCUUG